Micropterus salmoides (largemouth bass) is the source of this 466-nucleotide long non-coding RNA. RefSeq lists it as uncharacterized. The record is from RefSeq and is a predicted model, not a curated record. The transcript is spliced from 5 exons. Lineage: Eukaryota; Metazoa; Chordata; Actinopteri; Centrarchiformes; Centrarchidae.
UGUUUCACAGCACCAACACCACUGAGGGAAAGAAGCUGAAUGAAGAUAACAAAACCGCAGGUCCUGGUGAUGGCCUGCCUUGUUUGAUGUCUCGCACGCAGAAAGUGGAAUCUUCAUUCUACAAAAACGAAAGGCCAUCAUCCGAUGUCUCAUUGACCAUCCGGGAGAAGAUGCAAGUGCCUUGAUGAAGGACUUUGAGACUGCACGCGUCAAGUCCACCAUGUUACUAUAGUAGCCCUGAACGGACAAACCAAACAAUGACUCUAGAUAGGGCCUUCCCAUUUUUCUGAAGUUUCACUGCCAUCGUAGUUUCUCCUAUACACUUGGCCCGACCUAGAGCCAGUCUUUGGUUUGUCCAUUCUGCACUACUGUAGAAACAUGACUAUGCAACGUGGCGGACUCUGAGCAAGAGGACCCGUGCCGUCUGUACACAUAAAAAGGGUCAUAAUAGGUGAUUAUACACUAC